RNAcentral lists this ribosomal RNA (448 nucleotides) under uncultured bacterium. RNAcentral's name for it is "bacterial SSU rRNA". It matches the Rfam family "Bacterial small subunit ribosomal RNA", at positions 330 to 792 of the family's 1533-position model. The record is from RNAcentral.
GCCAGACUCCUACGGGAGGCAGCAGUGGGGAAUAUUGGGCAAUGGGCGCAAGCCUGACCCAGCAACGCCGCGUGAAGGAAGAAGGCUUUCGGGUUGUAAACUUCUUUUGUCAGGGACGAAGCAAGUGACGGUACCUGACGAAUAAGCCACGGCUAACUACGUGCCAGCAGCCGCGGUAAUACGUAGGUGGCAAGCGUUAUCCGGAUUUACUGGGUGUAAAGGGCGUGUAGGCGGGACUGCAAGUCAGAUGUGAAAACUACGGGCUCAACCUGUGGCCUGCAUUUGAAACUGUAGUUCUUGAGUACUGGAGAGGCAGACGGAAUUCCUAGUGUAGCGGUGAAAUGCGUAGAUAUUAGGAGGAACACCAGUGGCGAAGGCGGCCUGCUGGGCUUUAACUGACGCUGAGGCUCGAAAGCGUGGGGAGCAAACAGGAUUAGAUACCCGCGUA